This 1164-nucleotide long non-coding RNA is filed under the name Piliocolobus tephrosceles (Ugandan red Colobus). RNAcentral describes it as "lncRNA (ENSPTEG00000000024.1)". The record is from RNAcentral. Lineage: Eukaryota; Metazoa; Chordata; Mammalia; Primates; Cercopithecidae.
UGAGCAUAAAAACAGAUAUAAAUAAUGUUCAUAGUGAUAGUACAAUCCUAAGUAAUCACCAUAAUGAAACAAGUGACACUCAUGUUUAUUCUAAAUUUGUACAUUUAUAUAAUAAUAAUAAAUAUUAUAUUAAAGAGCAAAUUAAAACGUAUGUGUUCAAGUUUUUACAACCUGAAUGGGCAGACAUGUUAAUUCAUCCUAUUGAUAAUAUCACUACUACUACUUCUACUAACUCUGACACUGUUACAUUCUCUACUAAAAAGAAAAUGUUUCAAUACAAUUACAAACUUUACGAAUUCUUAUUAAGUAUAAAUGAAAGCCUCAACGGGGAUGAUACACUCUAUAAACAAUUUAGUACCAAAAACGACAACAUGCAUAAAAACUUAUCAGAUAACAUAAAAACAGUAUUACAAACCAGUAUAGAAUACUUUUUCGAUAUUAUAAAAUUAUUUCAUUAUAAAAAAAAUGAGAAUGAAAAGUUUGUUUAUAAAUAUAAUGAAUAUAAUUCUGAAGAAAUAGAUGCAUUUUACGUACAUUGGUAUAAUGAGUAUAAUAAAAUAACAAAUAAUUUAGCCUUUUUAAUUUUAUCUUUAAAUCCAGAACUACGUUUGUAUAGUCACUUACAAAAAAGGCUACUGGAGCAUAUACCAGACACUCACGAAACCAUAAACAACGCAUAUAAACAGCAUACACUUUUCAAACCUUUAAAUGUUAAUUUUAAAUGUUUUGAAACAAAAGAAUUUGUAAAAAAUUUAAAUUUUAUUAUUCCUACUAAUGAAAACGAUAUAGAUAACAUUUUUACAAAUUUCAUUAAUACAAAAAUGUAUCACCACAUUCCAAUGUUAUUUGAUAUGAUGAAAAAAUUUUUCUCUUAUGAAACAAGUUUUUUGGUUAAUUAUACGCAUCUAGAAAGUAUUGUCAAUUCUUAUUUUAGUGAUUCAUUUACAGAUAAAUCAACUAAAAUUGUCGUAACAAAAUUAUUACAUUCUUUUUUUAUUCGAUUAUCUUAUAAUGUAGUAGGACAUUAUGAACAUCAGUUUACAAAAGUAUUAGACAAUUUAGAUCCUAAUUUGUUAAUUACAUUUCAUACUAUAAUAAACAAAUUAAUGUUCACAUUUGUAUGUGAUAAUACACAUAUAACAGAUUUAUAUGCUCCAACCUUAU